RNAcentral lists this ribosomal RNA (402 nucleotides) under Vibrio sp. KSS01A12. Its description in RNAcentral is "bacterial SSU rRNA". It matches the Rfam family "Bacterial small subunit ribosomal RNA", at positions 64 to 452 of the family's 1533-position model. The record is from RNAcentral. Lineage: Bacteria; Pseudomonadati; Pseudomonadota; Gammaproteobacteria; Vibrionales; Vibrionaceae.
GAGCAGGAACGAGUUAUCUGAACCUUCGGGGAACGAUAACGGCGUCGAGCGGCGGACGGGUGAGUAAUGCCUAGGAAAUUGCCCUGAUGUGGGGGAUAACCAUUGGAAACGAUGGCUAAUACCGCAUGAUGCCUACGGGCCAAAGAGGGGGACCUUCGGGCCUCUCGCGUCAGGAUAUGCCUAGGUGGGAUUAGCUAGUUGGUGAGGUAAGGGCUCACCAAGGCGACGAUCCCUAGCUGGUCUGAGAGGAUGAUCAGCCACACUGGAACUGAGACACGGUCCAGACUCCUACGGGAGGCAGCAGUGGGGAAUAUUGCACAAUGGGCGCAAGCCUGAUGCAGCCAUGCCGCGUGUGUGAAGAAGGCCUUCGGGUUGUAAAGCACUUUCAGUCGUGAGGAAGGU